Molecule: ribosomal RNA, 253 nt
Filed under: uncultured bacterium
Lineage: Bacteria
Description: partial 16S ribosomal RNA
Rfam family: Bacterial small subunit ribosomal RNA
Source: RNAcentral
GACGUAGGGCGCGAGCGUUGUCCGGAUUUAUUGGGCGUAAAGAGCGUGUAGGCGGUUUGGUAGGUCCGCUGUGAAAACUCGAGCUCAACCUCGAGACGCCGGUGGAAACCAUCAGACUAGGAGUCCGGAAGAGGAGAGUGGAAUUCCUGGUGUAGCGGUGAAAUGCGCAGAUAUCAGGAAGAACACCCGUGGCUAAGGCGGCUCUCUAGUACGGUACUGACGCUGAGACGCGAAAGCGUGGGGAGCGAACAGG